This 591-nucleotide ribosomal RNA is filed under the name Stenotrophomonas maltophilia. RNAcentral describes it as "bacterial SSU rRNA". It matches the Rfam family "Bacterial small subunit ribosomal RNA", at positions 214 to 805 of the family's 1533-position model. The record is from RNAcentral. Lineage: Bacteria; Pseudomonadati; Pseudomonadota; Gammaproteobacteria; Lysobacterales; Lysobacteraceae.
UGCGCGAUUGAAUGACCGAUGUCGGAUUACUAGUUGGCGGGGUAAAGGCCCACCAAGGSGACGAUCCGUAGCUGGUCUGAGAGGAUGAUCAGCCACACUGGAACUGAGACACGGUCCAGACUCCUACGGGAGGCAGCAGUGGGGAAUAUUGGACAAUGGGCGCAAGCCUGAUCCAGCCAUACCGCGUGGGUGAAGAAGGCCUUCGGGUUGUAAAGCCCUUUUGUUGGGAAAGAAAUCCAUCUGGCUAAUACCCGGGUGGGAUGACGGUACCCAAAGAAUAAGCACCGGCUAACUUCGUGCCAGCAGCCGCGGUAAUACGAAGGGUGCAAGCGUUACUCGGAAUUACUGGGCGUAAAGCGUGCGUAGGUGGUCGUUUAAGUCCGUUGUGAAAGCCCUGGGCUCAACCUGGGAACUGCAGUGGAUACUGGGCGACUAGAAUGUGGUAGAGGGUAGCGGAAUUCCUGGUGUAGCAGUGAAAUGCGUAGAGAUCAGGAGGAACAUCCAUGGCGAAGGCAGCUAYCUGGACCACAUUGACACUGAGGCACGAASCGUGGGGAGCAACAGGAUUAAUACCCUGGUACCACGCCCUAA